Molecule: ribosomal RNA, 497 nt
Filed under: uncultured bacterium
Lineage: Bacteria
Description: partial 16S ribosomal RNA
Rfam family: Bacterial small subunit ribosomal RNA
Source: RNAcentral
GAUGAACGCUGGCGGCGUGCCUAAUACAUGCAAGUCGAGCGAACAGUCGAGGAGCUUGCUCCUUUGACGUUAGCGGCGGACGGGUGAGUAACACGUGGAUAACCUACCUAUAAGACUGGGAUAACUUCGGGAAACCGGAGCUAAUACCGGAUAACAUGUUGAACCGCAUGGUUCAACAGUGAAAGACGGUCUUGCUGUCACUUAUAGAUGGAUCCGCGCCGCAUUAGCUAGUUGGUAAGGUAACGGCUUACCAAGGCAACGAUGCGUAGCCGACCUGAGAGGGUGAUCGGCCACACUGGAACUGAGACACGGUCCAGACUCCUACGGGAGGCAGCAGUAGGGAAUCUUCCGCAAUGGGCGAAAGCCUGACGGAGCAACGCCGCGUGAGUGAAGAAGGUCUUCGGAUCGUAAAACUCUGUUAUUAGGGAAGAACAAAUGUGUAAGUAACUAUGCACGUCUUGACGGUACCUAAUCAGAAAGCCACGGCUAACUACGUG